Molecule: long non-coding RNA, 401 nt
Filed under: Nicotiana benthamiana
Lineage: Eukaryota; Viridiplantae; Streptophyta; Magnoliopsida; Solanales; Solanaceae
Description: long non-coding RNA (NBEN_LNC040600)
Source: RNAcentral
CUCUCCUCCUUCUCUCUACUUUCUCUCUCUAAAUUUUCUCCGAUUCUCUGCAUGUUUUCAGCAUUUGGCCUCCAAACUCACUAGCCCAACUAAUUUGGUUUCAUGUCGGGUAAGCUCACAAAGGGGUAAAGCAUUCCCUGAAUCCCUGCUACGAAACUCUGCGUUCACUGGAAUCUGAGAUCUCUUGUCAAGAUGGAGGGAUCCCGAUCGCUCACCACAUCACUGUUGGUGAUUUUGUUGGAGUUAAUCUUGUCUCUAGCUCAAAUUUCUAAACAGAAUUUUCAGGCGAUUUCUUGCCAAAGGUUAUUACUCAGUUUUGCCUUGCAUUAUUUAUGCUAUAUUGCCUAUCCAUUGAGGAUACUAGUGCAUAUGAUCUAGCAUCUUAUUAAGUAGUAGUAUUG